This 253-nucleotide ribosomal RNA is filed under the name uncultured bacterium. RNAcentral describes it as "partial 16S ribosomal RNA". It matches the Rfam family "Bacterial small subunit ribosomal RNA", at positions 524 to 776 of the family's 1533-position model. The record is from RNAcentral.
GACAGAGGGUGCAAACGUUGUUCGGAAUUACUGGGCGUAAAGUGUGCGCAGGUGGCUUCGCAAGUCGAGUGUGAAAUCCCCGGGCUUAACCUGGGAAUUGCGCUCGAAACUACGGAGCUGGAGUAUGGCAGAGGGAGGUGGAAUUCCACGUGUAGCGGUGAAAUGCGUAGAGAUGUGGAGGAACACCAAUGGCGAAGGCAGCCUCCUGGGCCAAUACUGACACUCAUGCACGAAAGCGUGGGGAGCAAACAGG